Molecule: ribosomal RNA, 240 nt
Filed under: uncultured bacterium
Lineage: Bacteria
Description: partial 16S ribosomal RNA
Rfam family: Bacterial small subunit ribosomal RNA
Source: RNAcentral
CAAUCCGUUAGUAAAGUGGCGUACGGGUGAGUAACACGUGGAUCAUCUGCCCUAGAGUGGGGAAUAACGAGGGGAAACCUUCGCUAAUACCGCAUAAUCCCGAGAGGGGAAAGCCGAAAGGCGCUCAAGGAGGAGUCCGCGGUCGAUUAGCUAGUUGGUAGGGUAAUGGCCUACCAAGGCUACGAUCGAUAGCCGGCCUGAGAGGGCACACGGCCACACUGGCACUGAAACACGGGCCAG